Arachis ipaensis is the source of this 646-nucleotide non-coding RNA. NCBI's taxonomy places the organism in Eukaryota, Viridiplantae, Streptophyta, Magnoliopsida, Fabales, Fabaceae. The record is from RefSeq and is a predicted model, not a curated record.
UUCCUUCUUGUUAACCUUUUCAUCUUUUUUAUUUAUUGUUGCUAUGUCCCUAAAAUUUUAGUGCUUUAUUAUGGUGUGGUGAGUCUUUCUUCUCCUCUCUUUUUUUCUUUCACACAACUCAUUCAACAGAAAUUGAUGAGAGUGUAUCGCCUCCUUUUCUUGCAAUUGUGCGAGACAGUGAUUCCGAUUAACGAGUAGGCAAAGGAACGAUUUAGAUUUGUUCAAUUUCGCGGUGACUCUAUGGCCGACUCCAUUUCCAGCAACAGUGCUUUCCCAGGAUUUGAUAUUCACACUCUAUAUCAUCUCCUCAAUCAACUCAUGCAAUUACAAUCACAAUUGAAAUCGCAACAGUAUGUGGAUAUUUAGAACGAUUUGAGGCAUCGUUAGUAUCGAGGUGACAUCUUUAAGAUUGCAGAACUGGAAGAACAAUUGUUCUCUUUGAAGCAGGGAGAUUCAAGCAUCAUUGAUUACUUUACAAACUUGAAGGCUAUUUGGGAAGAAAUUAAAAAUUUUAAGUCUAUUCCCUUUUGUGUAGCAUGUGAAUCCACGUGUAUUUGUAGGUUGGAAAAGCUUCGAAUUCAGAAAAAGGAGACCUAUAUUGUUCGAUUCCUUAGGAGACUUAAUGAGCAAUAUCACAAUGUUCGUU